UUCCAGACUCCUACGGGAGGCAGCAGUGAGGAAUAUUGGUCAAUGGCCGAGAGGCUGAACCAGCCAAGUCGCGUGAGGGAUGACGGCCCUACGGGUUGUAAACCUCUUUUGUCGGGGAGCAAAGAGAGUCACGUGUGGCUCAUUGAGAGUACCCGAAGAAAAAGCAUCGGCUAACUCCGUGCCAGCAGCCGCGGUAAUACGGAGGAUGCGAGCGUUAUCCGGAUUUAUUGGGUUUAAAGGGUGCGCAGGCGGAGGUGCAAGUCAGCGGUAAAAUUUCGGGGCUCAACCCCGUCGUGCCGUUGAAACUGGCGUUCUUGAGUGAGCGAGAAGUAUGCGGAAUGCGUGGUGUAGCGGUGAAAUGCAUAGAUAUCGCGCAGAACUCCGAUUGCGAAGGCAGCAUGCCGGCUCCACAUUGACGCUGAGGCACGAAAGCGUGGGUAUCGAACAGGAUUAGAUACCCUAGUAG
Molecule: ribosomal RNA, 466 nt
Filed under: uncultured bacterium
Lineage: Bacteria
Description: bacterial SSU rRNA
Rfam family: Bacterial small subunit ribosomal RNA
Source: RNAcentral